Mustela erminea (ermine) is the source of this 878-nucleotide long non-coding RNA. RefSeq lists it as uncharacterized. The record is from RefSeq and is a predicted model, not a curated record. The transcript has 3 exons. NCBI's taxonomy places the organism in Eukaryota, Metazoa, Chordata, Mammalia, Carnivora, Mustelidae.
AUAGAAGAAUUCACUAAUCCAAGGUAAACGUGAGCAAUUAGGUUUGGCAUCUUCGGUAGCUGUUAGGAGAUCCAAAUGUUUCAGUGAGAACGAUCUCAAUAGCUUCCAGCAUCUGCCAUGGCGGAGUACUUUGCAAAUGGGAUUGGGUAGUGGCACUUCAGUUUUACAGAGGGCACUGGUACCAGGCUAUGGUGAAGGAUCGACCCCGUAUAACAUCUUUCUUCUUUCAAGUGUAUUUUACAGGAUCUCAUCUAUGCUACUUGCCAGGAUGGUGAGGAAUAGUGACCAUCGGUCCUAUUUGAGAGAGCAGGUAUUAACACAAAUGUCAGGAAAUGAUUGUCUUAAGUUGUGUUGGGAGAAUAUGCAGGGAGGAAAUUGAGGAUUUAUGGUUCCUACGUCAGAUACGGCAAUGUCCUUUGAUUAUGAGAGCUCCUGGAAGGAAUCAAAUUCUUGUCCGUGCAUUUGGGGAAUAAGAUUUAAGAAUCAGGGCUCCCGGCUGACUAUUUAUUAUGCUUUCUUCCCCUUCAGCUCUCUGAAACAGCCUUCUGGGUCUCCAUCCGGCCACCAUCCUCACCACUCAUAGCCCUCACCAUUUCAGAAGGAAGUGAAGGAGUUAAUGGGGCAGUAACAUCCAAGGAAGUGCAAUCUUGACUCAAUGUUGAUCUCUUACCAGUCAUCCAAGGGGCUUCCAGUAUGAUGUGGGACAGGAGUGGUGAGAGGACAUUCUUACUGUGUUCCUGAUCUUAAUGGGAACACUUCUAGUUUCUCACAAAAACAACUAUGAAACCUGGAUUAAACAAAUGGAGCAGCUAUUUUAGAACUUCAAAGAGCCAAUAGCACGCGGUAAUGUGGAGAACAGCACCAGAAUUCAAAGUACC